CUUCACCGAGCCGAGCAGCAGCGGCCGGUCGGCGGGCCGGCCCUGGCCGUAGGUGGCGAGCAGGGCCUGCGCCUC
Streptomyces caelestis is the source of this 75-nucleotide non-coding RNA. It matches the Rfam family "ASpks TB sRNA". The record is from Rfam. Lineage: Bacteria; Bacillati; Actinomycetota; Actinomycetes; Kitasatosporales; Streptomycetaceae.